AUGGAGGUCGUCACGGGUGCCAUGGGCAGCCUGCUCCCCAAGCUGGGCCAGCUGCUCAUGGAUGAGUACAACCUGCUCAAGCGCGUCAAGAAAGACGUCCGAUUUCUGUCCAUGGAGCUUGAGAGCAUGCAUGCUGCCCUCAUCAAGGUUGGUGCCAUGCCGCGGGACCAGCUCGACACGCAAGUCAAGCUCUGGGCCGAUGAAGUCAGAGAGCUCUCCUACAACAUGGAGGAUGUCGUCGACAAGUUCCUCGUACGCGUUGAAGGUAUUCAGCAGCCUAACGACAACACCGGCAAAUUCAAGGAGCUCAAGAACAAGAUGGUCAGAUUGUUCAAGAAAGGCAAGAAUCACCAUCGGAUAGCUGACGCCGUCAAGGAAAUCAAGGAGCAACUCCAGGAGGUGGCUGCUAGGCGUGGCAGGAACAAGCUCGAUGGUAUUGCUUUUAAUCCCACAGAAGCAAUUGCUAUCGAUCCUCGGCUUCGGGCAUUGUACACAGAAGCGACAGAGCUGGUGGGCAUUUAUGGAAAGAGAGAUGAAGACCUCUUAAGUUUGCUCUCCAUUGAGGGUGACGAUGCAUCUAACAAGAAACUGAAGAAGAUCUCCAUUGUUGGAUUUGGAGGGUUGGGAAAGACCACUCUUGCUAGAGCAGUAUAUGACAAGAUUAAAGGUGAUUUUGAUUGUCGGACAUUUGUCCCCGUCGGUCAGAACCCUGAUGUCAAGAAGGUUUUCAGGGAUAUCCUUAUUGAUCUCGGAAAAUCCCACUCAGAUGUUGUCAUGUUGGAUGAAAGGCAGCUUAUCAACAAGCUUCAUGAAUUCCUCGAGAACAAGAGGUAUCUGGUCAUAAUUGAUGAUAUAUGGGAUGAAAAAUUGUGGGAAGGCAUCAACUUGGCUUUCUCUAACAGGAAUAAUCUAGGCAGUCGGCUAAUCACCACAACCCGCAUUGUUAGUGUCUCCAAUUCAUGUUGCUCGUCGGCUAAUGAUUCGAUUUAUCAAAUGAAACCUCUUUCUACUGAUGAUUCCAGAAGGCUCUUCAAUAAGAGAAUAUUUCCCGACAAGAGUGGAUGUCCAAAUGAAUUUGAACAAGUGUCCAAAGAUAUAUUGAAAAAAUGUGGUGGAGUACCACUGGCCAUCAUUACUAUUGCUAGUGCUUUGGCUAGUGGCCAGAAGGUGAAACCAAAGCAUGAGUGGGAUAUUAUGCUCCAGUCCCUUGGCUCCGGACUAACAAAAGAUAACAGUUUGGUUGAGAUGCGGAGAAUACUAUGUUUCAGCUAUUAUAAUCUGCCGUCUCAUCUGAAAACUUGUCUACUUUACCUAUGUAUAUAUCCAGAAGAUAGCACAAUUGAUAGAGAUGGACUGAUAUGGAAGUGGGUGGCCGAAGGAUUUAUCCACCAUGGAGAUCAAGGGACUAGCCUGUUUUUGCUUGGAUUAAAUUACUUCAACCAGCUCAUUAAUAGAAGUAUGAUCCAGCCAAUAUAUGAUAGUUUAGGCCAGGUAUAUGCUUGUCGUGUGCAUGAUAUGGUUCUGGACCUUAUCUGCAGCUUGUCACAUGAAGCAAAGUUUGUUAAUGUAUUGCAUGGCACUGGGAAUAGCAUAUCUUCACAAAGUAAUGUCCGCCGUCUGUCCCUUCAGAAUAAAGUGGAAGAUCAUCAAGCCAAGCCUCUCACAAAUAUCAUGAGUAUGUCACGAGUGAGGUCAAUUACUAUCUUUCCACCUGUUGUUAGUAUGAUGCCAAGUCUGUCAAUGUUUGAAGUUCUGCGUGUACUUGAUCUGUCGGAUUGUAAUCUGGGAGAAAGUAGCAGCCUGCAGCUUAACCUCAAGGGUGUUGGACAUUUAAUCCACCUAAGGUACCUUGGUCUAGCAGGUACUCAAAUUAGUGAACUCUCGACUGAGAUAGGAAACCUGCAAUUUUUGGAGGUGUUGGAUCUUGCAAGGAAUCGUACGCUAGAUGAAUUGCCUUCCACUCUUUUUAAAUUGAGAAGAUUAAUCUACCUAAAUGUUUAUCUCAGUGAGGUGGUUCCAACUCCUGGUGUGUUGCAGAAUCUUACAUCCAUUGAAGUGUUCAGGGGGCUCUUGGUCUCUCUGAACAUCAUUGCACAAGAGCUUGGCAACUUGGCAAGGCUGAGGGAGCUUCAGAUUCGCUUCAAGGAUGGUAGUUUGGAUUUGUAUGAAGGUUUCGUGAAGUCUCUGUGCAACCUACAUCACAUCGAAAUUCUAAUUAUUGGUAACAAUUCGGAAGAAACAUCUUUUGAACUGAUGGAUCUCUUGGGAGAACGCUGGGUGCCUCCUGUACAUCUCCGCAAAUUUGUGUCUUCCAUGCCCAGCCAACUCUCUGCACUGCGAGGGUGGAUAAAGAGAGACCCCUCUCAUCUCUCGAACCUCUCUGAGUUAAUCCUUAUGCGAGUGAAGGAAGUGCAGCAGGAGGACAUGGAAAUCAUUGGGGGUUUGCUGUCCCUUUGCCGGCUCCGCAUAAAGAUCACCCACCAAACACAAUGGCUGCUAGUUAUCCCUGCAGAUGGGUUCCGCUGUAUGGUAGACUUUAAGCUGGAUUGUGGAUCAGCAGCGCAGAUAAUGUUUGAAUCAGGUGCUUUGCCCAGGGUGGAAGAAGUUUGGUUCAGUCUGGGCGUGCGGGUGGCGAAAGAGGAUGGUAACUAUGGUUUCGACUUGGGCCUGCAGGGGAACCUGCUCUCCAUUCGGCGGCAUGUUAUUGUUUUUCUGUAUCCUGGUGGAGCGAGGGUUGGGGAGGCAAAGGAAGCCAAGGCUGCAGUGAGGCACGCACUUGAAGCCCGUCCCAACCAUCCCCCGAUUAUAAUUGAUAUGGUCCCACUUAUAGCAGUAGGUGCGCAUGAUGAUGAUAUGUGUGAGGAGAACUGA
RNAcentral lists this ribosomal RNA (2871 nucleotides) under Triticum aestivum (bread wheat). Its description in RNAcentral is "partial small subunit ribosomal RNA". Lineage: Eukaryota; Viridiplantae; Streptophyta; Magnoliopsida; Poales; Poaceae. The record is from RNAcentral.